RNAcentral lists this transfer RNA (74 nucleotides) under Camelus dromedarius (Arabian camel). It matches the Rfam family "tRNA". Rfam says of the family: Transfer RNA (tRNA) molecules are approximately 80 nucleotides in length. Their secondary structure includes four short double-helical elements and three loops (D, anti-codon, and T loops). Further hydrogen bonds mediate the characteristic L-shaped molecular structure. tRNAs have two regions of fundamental functional importance: the anti-codon, which is responsible for specific mRNA codon recognition, and the 3' end, to which the tRNAs corresponding amino acid is attached (by aminoacyl-tRNA synthetases). tRNAs cope with the degeneracy of the genetic code in two manners: having more than one tRNA (with a specific anti-codon) for a particular amino acid; and 'wobble' base-pairing, i.e. permitting non-standard base-pairing at the 3rd anti-codon position. The record is from Rfam by way of RNAcentral. RNAcentral also lists the same sequence under 1 other name. Lineage: Eukaryota; Metazoa; Chordata; Mammalia; Artiodactyla; Camelidae.
GGAGGGUAGCAGCUUGGUGGCAGAGCGCGUGCUUAGCACGCACGAGGUCCCGGGUUCCAUCCCCGGUCCCUCCA